This is a non-coding RNA of Streptococcus pneumoniae D39, 45 nucleotides long. NCBI's taxonomy places the organism in Bacteria, Bacillati, Bacillota, Bacilli, Lactobacillales, Streptococcaceae. The record is from Rfam.
UGGCAUAGCCCUUGUUCUCGCAGCUGUCUGGUUAGGAUGGCCCAA